UAGUCUGUCUGGGGAGAUAAAGGAGAGGGACCCUGCCUCUAAAAUUAGUCUGUCUGGGGAGAUAAAGGAGAGGGACCCUGCCUCUAAAAUGAGUCCCUCUGUGAAACGUGACAGCAAAGACAAAAUCCCAAUCCAACAGGACAUAGCAGCCUCCCCUGCACCCAGCUGUGUGUCCAUGAAGAGUGACAAGUCAAUGCGACAGCCUAACAACUUCAGAGAGGGAGACUUUUCUACUGAACAAAGUAUGGAUCAUGGUGGAGAGUGGAGGUUGAAAUCAGGACCG
Long non-coding RNA from Esox lucius (northern pike), 283 nucleotides. RefSeq lists it as uncharacterized. The record is from RefSeq and is a predicted model, not a curated record. The transcript is spliced from 3 exons. NCBI's taxonomy places the organism in Eukaryota, Metazoa, Chordata, Actinopteri, Esociformes, Esocidae.